Molecule: ribosomal RNA, 497 nt
Filed under: uncultured bacterium
Lineage: Bacteria
Description: partial 16S ribosomal RNA
Rfam family: Bacterial small subunit ribosomal RNA
Source: RNAcentral
GAUGAACGCUGGCGGCGUGCCUAAUACAUGCAAGUCGAGCGAACAGAUAAGGAGCUUGCUCCUUUGACGUUAGCGGCGGACGGGUGAGUAACACGUGGGUAACCUACCUAUAAGACUGGAAUAACGCCGGGAAACCGGGUCUAAUGCCGGAUAACAUUUAGAACCGCAUGGUUCUAAAGUGAAAGAUGGUUUUGCUAUCACUUAUAGAUGGACCCGCGCCGUAUUAGCUAGUUGGUAAGGUAACGGCUUACCAAGGCAACGAUACGUAGCCGACCUGAGAGAGUGAUCGGCCACACUGGAACUGAGACACGGUCCAGACUCCUACGGGAGGCAGCAGUAGGGAAUCUUCCGCAGUGGGCGAAAGCCUGACGGAGCAACGCCGCGUGAGUGAUGACGGUCUUCGGAUCGUAAAACUCUGUUAUUAGGGAAGAACAAAUGUGUAAGUAACUGUGCACGUCUUGACGGUACCUAAUCAGAAAGCCACGGCUAACUACGUG